UAGUCCACGCCGUAAACGAUGAUAACUCGUUGCUGGCGAUACAUUGUCAGUGACCAAGCGAAAGUGUUAAGUUAUCCACCUGGGGAGUACGAUCGCAAGAUUGAAACUCAAAGGAAUUGACGGGGGCCCGCACAAGCGGAGGAACAUGUGGUUUAAUUCGAUGAUACGCGAGGAACCUUACCUGGACUUAAAUGUACGUUGCAUGGAUCAGAGAUGGUCCUUUCUUCGGACUACGUACAAGGUGCUGCAUGGUUGUCGUCAGCUCGUGCCGUGAGGUGUUGGGUUAAGUCCCGCAACGAGCGAAACCCUCAUCCUUAUUUGCCAGCGGUUCGGCCGGGGACCAUAAGGAAACUGCCGGUGAUAAGCCGGAGGAAGGUGGGGACGAUGUCAAGUCAUCAUGGCCCUUAUGGGUUGGGCUACACGCGUGCUACAAUGGUAUCUACAGAGGGAAGCAAUAUGGCAACAUGAAGCAAAUCCUCAAAGGAUAUCUCAGUUCGGAUUGGUCU
This 506-nucleotide ribosomal RNA is filed under the name uncultured bacterium. RNAcentral's name for it is "bacterial SSU rRNA". It matches the Rfam family "Bacterial small subunit ribosomal RNA", at positions 791 to 1304 of the family's 1533-position model. The record is from RNAcentral.